Molecule: ribosomal RNA, 446 nt
Filed under: uncultured bacterium
Lineage: Bacteria
Description: bacterial SSU rRNA
Rfam family: Bacterial small subunit ribosomal RNA
Source: RNAcentral
CGCCAGACUCCUACGGGAGGCAGCAGUGGGGAAUAUUGCACAAUGGGGGAAACCCUGAUGCAGCGACGCCGCGUGAGUGAAGAAGUAUUUCGGUAUGUAAAGCUCUAUCAGCAGGGAAGAAAAUGACGGUACCUGACUAAGAAGCCCCGGCUAACUACGUGCCAGCAGCCGCGGUAAUACGUAGGGGGCAAGCGUUAUCCGGAUUUACUGGGUGUAAAGGGGGCGCAGACGGCGAUGCAAGCCAGGAGUGAAAGCCCGGGGCCCAACCCCGGGACUGCUCUUGGAACUGCGUGGCUGGAGUGCAGGAGGGGCAGGCGGAAUUCCUGGUGUAGCGGUGAAAUGCGUAGAUAUCAGGAGGAACACCGGUGGCGAAGGCGGCCUGCUGGACUGCAACUGACGUUGAGGCCCGAAAGCGUGGGGAGCAAACAGGAUUAGAUACCCCAGUA